Molecule: ribosomal RNA, 497 nt
Filed under: uncultured bacterium
Lineage: Bacteria
Description: partial 16S ribosomal RNA
Rfam family: Bacterial small subunit ribosomal RNA
Source: RNAcentral
GAUGAACGCUGGCGGCGUGCCUAAUACAUGCGAGUCGAGCGAACAGACGAGGAGCUUGCUCCUCUGACGUUAGCGGCGGACGUGUGAGUAACACGUGGAUAACCUACCUAUAAGACUGGGAUAACUUCGGGAAACCGGAGCUAAUACCGGAUAAUAUAUUGAACCGCAUGGUUCAAUAGUGAAAGACGGUUUUGCUGUCACUUAUAGAUGGAUCCGCGCCGCAUUAGCUAGUUGGUAAGGUAACGGCUUACCAAGGCAACGAUGCGUAGCCGACCUGAGAGGGUGAUCGGCCACACUGGAACUGAGACACGGUCCAGACUCCUACGGGAGGCAGCAGUAGGGAAUCUUCCGCAAUGGGCGAAAGCCUGACGGAGCAACGCCGCGUGAGUGAUGAAGGUCUUCGGAUCGUAAAACUCUGUUAUUAGGGAAGAACAAAUGUGUAAGUAACUAUGCACGUCUUGACGGUACCUAAUCAGAAAGCCACGGCUAACUACGUG